GUCGACACCGYGUUGGCCGCUACUCUGCGCUCKCUCGGGGACGGGGCCCCGGUUCCUCCCCAGCGCGGGCUGGAGCGUGCGCUCGCCCCUGCGGACGCAGCCUGGAGGAGCGGGGGGGCAGGCGGGCCCCGGAGCGGGAUUAGGGCACGGCGUCGGCAGGGGGACGGCUCCUGAUGCAAUAGGCGUGCCCGAGAGUGCUGGCAAGCAAGAAGAUGGGUAGAAGA
This 224-nucleotide long non-coding RNA is filed under the name Dromaius novaehollandiae (emu). RNAcentral describes it as "lncRNA (ENSDNVG00000005439.1)". The record is from RNAcentral. Lineage: Eukaryota; Metazoa; Chordata; Aves; Casuariiformes; Dromaiidae.